UACGAAGGGGGCUAGCGUUGCUCGGAAUCACUGGGCGUAAAGCGCACGUAGGCGGAUCCUUAAGUCGGGGGUGAAAUCCUGGAGCUCAACUCCAGAACUGCCUUCGAUACUGAGGAUCUCGAGUCCGGGAGAGGUGAGUGGAGCUGCGAGUGUAGAGGUGAAAUUCGUAGAUAUUCGCAAGAACACCAGUGGCGAAGGCGGCUCACUGGCCCGGUACUGACGCUGAGGUGCGAAAGCGUGGGGAGCAAACAGG
RNAcentral lists this ribosomal RNA (253 nucleotides) under uncultured bacterium. RNAcentral's name for it is "partial 16S ribosomal RNA". It matches the Rfam family "Bacterial small subunit ribosomal RNA", at positions 524 to 776 of the family's 1533-position model. The record is from RNAcentral.